RNAcentral lists this ribosomal RNA (497 nucleotides) under uncultured bacterium. RNAcentral describes it as "partial 16S ribosomal RNA". It matches the Rfam family "Bacterial small subunit ribosomal RNA", at positions 28 to 507 of the family's 1533-position model. The record is from RNAcentral.
GAUGAACGCUGGCGGCGUGCCUAAUACAUGCAAGUCGAGCGAACAGACGAGGAGCUUGCUCCUCUGACGUUAGCGGCGGACGGGUGAGUAACACGUGGAUAACCUACCUAUAAGACUGGGAUAACUUCGGGAAACCGGAGCUAAUACCGGAUAAUAUAUUGAACCGCAUGGUUCAAUAGUGAAAGACGGUUUUGCUGUCACUUAUAGAUGGAUCCGCGCCGCAUUAGCUAGUUGGUAAGGUAACGGCUUACCAAGGCAACGAUGCGUAGUCGACCUGAGAGGGUGAUCGGCCACACUGGAACUGAGACACGGUCCAGACUCCUACGGGAGGCAGCAGUAGGGAAUCUUCCGCAAUGGGCGAAAGCCUGACGGAGCAACGCCGCGUGAGUGAUGAAGGUCUUCGGAUCGUAAAACUCUGUUAUUAGGGAAGAACAAAUGUGUAAGUAACUAUGCACGUCUUGACGGUACCUAAUCAGAAAGCUACGGCUAACUACGUG